This is a non-coding RNA of Macaca mulatta (Rhesus monkey), 575 nucleotides long. NCBI's taxonomy places the organism in Eukaryota, Metazoa, Chordata, Mammalia, Primates, Cercopithecidae. The record is from RefSeq and is a predicted model, not a curated record.
CCUGUACUGUGAGUUCCAACCAUGGAGUUGAAAAGAGAGAGUAAAAAAGAAGAAAAGAAAAAUCAAAGACCAACAUCUACUCAUCCACUGCAGUCCCUGUGCAGUCCUGAAGAAUUGAGAAGUCAAAUGAAUGGAAGAGACCUACAUGAUUAAAACAAAACAGUGACCUCUCCGAGUUGAGUUGAAGACAGGGGAGUGCUGGAGCCCACACAUGUACUUGGACGACCAGACUGUGUGCAUCUCUUCCUGAUGCUGCAUUCAGUGACAUCACAUUGGUAGUUUGAAAUCAACCGUAAUGGAGGUAUUUAUGGAAAUUGGCAAAUGUUACAAAUGAAAACUUUUCUUCCCUGGAAAACCAGUUGUUAAACAUUCACCAGCACAUCACUGAUUGAAGAGGAAGGAAGAUGAUUGGGUCAGGGGAAGUGAAGGUGGCUAAGGAUGGUAGGGUAAUUUGAUUUGCUCAGUAAAUGACCCAUGCCUUUCAAACUUAAUAGUUCCAGCCAUCUAUGAAUCUUCCAUGGUUCAGUAACUUUAUAAUGACAGCAAAAAUAGUAAUACAUCCUUGUUGCAAGUGC